Molecule: long non-coding RNA, 1014 nt
Organism: Anas platyrhynchos (mallard)
Lineage: Eukaryota; Metazoa; Chordata; Aves; Anseriformes; Anatidae
Source: RefSeq, a predicted model, not a curated record
UAGGGUUGUGUUAGGGUUAGGGUUAUUCUUAGGGUUAGUUGUGUUCCCUAACACAUAUCACCUCUGCGCUGCUGUGGGAUGAUUUGUUUUGAGCUGUAACAGCUCCUGGCACACCGUGGCAGCAGGGAGCUGGCCGCACGCUUGCUGCGUGCUGUCUGCUCUCUCUGCUGGCCAACUGAAAAAUUUUAUUUCCACGAGAUGGGCUUGCAGAAAUGCACCGACCGAGAAAAUGCGUGUCAGAAAAAUAGAGCUUUUUUUUUCCCCCUAAAGUCCCAAACAGGCACAUAAAAGUGGUUGAAUUGAAUAAAUGAUAUUCUUAACAAAAAGGAAGCAGCAGAGGAGAAAGAGGCAGGACAGACAUGGGUCUUCUGUCCCAUCCCAGCUCACUGCAUCCAUAGUUUGGUGGAAGUGAGAGGACCGACCCAUGGGACAGGGUGACCCCAGCGUGGAUGUCAGGCCGUCAAGGCCUUGCCCUAACAUUUUCAGUAGCAAACGUUGUAGUGUUGGGUUACUGGAGAAUUUCCAGUGACCACCAGCACAGAGAAGCCAGGAGAGAGUGGGACUGUGAGGAACUUUUUUCUGUUUGUUCAAUGCCUAAUUCAAGGGUGACCGAGUCCAAAAAGCCACCACACGGGGACUCUCAGCACAUAAAUACUGUAAUAGGAAUGGACUACAGAAAGUCAGGACUUCUCUGUGGGAAAGGACAAGCUAAAGACCUUGAUCCUGAAAUUAGACCAAACGUGGCAAAUUCUCCUAUCUGAGCCUCACUAAAGGGAGCGUGCCAUGGAUUUCAGCCACCAGGAACCAGCUCAGUAGUUUAAUCAAGGAGCAAACUCAUGUCUGGAGGGAUGACAACCUGAUGUUCUACAGCUCAAUGGCUCUGUUGAGUGACGCCCAGGUGCUGGGUUUAUGUGGCGAGGUUUUGGUAGUGGGGGGAGCUGCAAGGGUGGCCUCUGUUUACAACAGAGCAACACGUUUAUGGUGGGAUGUCAACCUCUGAUCUGAUUUAUUAAA